Molecule: long non-coding RNA, 1547 nt
Organism: Ipomoea triloba (trilobed morning glory)
Lineage: Eukaryota; Viridiplantae; Streptophyta; Magnoliopsida; Solanales; Convolvulaceae
Exons: 3
Source: RefSeq, a predicted model, not a curated record
CUUCAAGUUUAAGACUUUCGGAGCAACCAUUCACACUUCAAGCCCAAGCCCUAACAAUUACCAUUCACACUUCAAGCCCUAACAAUUAGCUAUCUGACUCUCCUUCGUUGCGACUUUCGGAGCAGCCAACGUUGAUGCCGAUGAGGAUUCCCUUUCCUUGCGACUUUGCGAGGCAGACGAGGACGCCGAUGACUACUCAUCUCUCCCCUGCGACUCUGAGAGUAGCUGACGAGGACCCCUCUCCCUUGUGACAGCCAACGAGAAUUCGCUUCUAGAAUUCUAGAUUCAUAAUAGAAAGCUGAACCUAUCUUCAUACAUCCUUCCAUGAUAGGUGGUGUGUAAUUUCUAUUUUAAGUUCUAUUUGUAUUAUUUCCGCUGCUUUUCCUCCAAUUGAAUUGUAGAGGCUUGGAACAACCCAAUACUAUCCUCAGAAGCUUGUAGUUACCAUAUUUUACUGGAGCGCUAGUUGUCCAAGAUUUCACCCCGUUGUCUAUCACUGCUUUACCAUUAUUUCAUUCUCACUCAAAGCAUUUCCUUUCAUCAAAUGUUGUGCUCUCUUGUUCUUAAAGCUGUUUCUGUUUUCUUGACCAGCAAUGCCAGAUCCCAAGCUAACAGGAGGAGUCACAAGGUUAGUUUUCUUUACUGGAUGCUUUGCAUAUUUGAAACUACAAUGAUUUGAGUCUUGUAAAUGGAGCAACAAACAUUAUGAAGAAAGAAAGGAACUUCUGCAUAAGUACAAUUAUAGACUAACUAGUGAACAAAUGUUUCUCAUCUUUCUACAAUUAUAUAUUUUGAGCAAACAUUGGGCCAUAAUUGCAGUAAGUAUGAACUUGUCUGACAAUAAUAAUAGAUAGGAAUUCCAGUUAGUGAUUUCCGUUUGAAAGUUAUGAAUGUUGUUUAUUAAGAAUUUAAUAGCUAGUUAUUGUAGACCAAGUGGCACCAUGGCAAACUCAAUUCAACUUAACCAUGUCUCAUUAUGUUGAUUAAUAGGCUCUGUUUUUUAAAUUCGUAACAAUGGAGGUAUUCACUAAAGAGUUGAAUCUCCACUUCACAUUCUUAAUUCUGUCUAGCCUUUAUAUACUUGUAUAUUAGCAUUGGUUUCUUACAAUAUUAGAGUUCUUUUAGUAGGCUAUUUAUCUAAUAUUAUUAGCUCAUAGUUCACAUAUGUUUGUAGUUUAUGGCCCUGGAUUUUUUGCAUGUUCUCUAUCUUUAUGGGUUAUGCAUCACUUAUUCCUUAACAAUGACCUUUUUUGGAUUAAACAAAUAAGGGUCUAGUAAAGCAGUCUGCUCAGCCAGUUCAAGGUGUUAAUCUUGCAUCAGAAGUUGAUGUUAGAGUUGAUGAUGCAGACACUUAUGUUGGUGACCAAGAGUUUUCUGUUCGAAAAUCUCCUCGACAGGAUAACCUUUCUGUGAAUGAGCAGAGUUCUGGAGAUGGUGGACUGUGACAGGAUAGUCCAAAGGUGUUUGAUGAAUUCUCUUUGGCCAAUAAAAAGCAGCCUGUGGAUUUCUCAUAUUUCUCAUAUUGAGCUGAAGAAUACAGAUCCUCU